Molecule: small RNA, 28 nt
Filed under: Bombyx mori (domestic silkworm)
Lineage: Eukaryota; Metazoa; Arthropoda; Insecta; Lepidoptera; Bombycidae
Description: ovarian small RNA-4475
Source: RNAcentral
AGAAAUCGGCCAAACGAGACGGGGUGAA